UUCGACGACAUAUUAAUGAAGGGAUAGAAUAAUAAUAUUAACUUUCCUUUUAUUCCCACGUUUUGGCCUUGUAGCAGCACCUUAGCUUGUUGCUUAUAUAUAGAUGCUUGAGAUGUAAUGAAAAACAUAAUAAUAGUACUAUCUUUCCUUCCUUCUCAUUAUCUUGGAGGCUCCUAGUCCUCAAAUUCUAGGGUUUCAUUUCUGCAUUCAUAACAGAUCCUCUAAGUUCAGGUCCUUGGCCUUCAUAACACUGUGCUCCAUCUCAACCUGCUUGUAGUUGUGGCCUCCCUUCUUCGGUGACCCACUCAUCCCCAUCGCCGACUUCCGAUCCUUCCGC
RNAcentral lists this long non-coding RNA (337 nucleotides) under Glycine max (soybean). RNAcentral describes it as "long non-coding RNA (GMAX_LNC003992)". Lineage: Eukaryota; Viridiplantae; Streptophyta; Magnoliopsida; Fabales; Fabaceae. The record is from RNAcentral.